AUUGAACGCUGGCGGCGCGCUUAACACAUGCAAGUCGUGCGGUACCGAUGGCAAGUCUUCUUGACGAGCCUUCGGUAUAGCGGCGGACGGGUGAGUAACACGUGAGUAGCUGUCCUAGGGAGGGGGAUAACGCCUGGAAACGGGUGCUAAAACCCCAUAAGCCUCGAAAGAGGUAAAAGUGCAUCACUGCAGUCCUAGGGUGUGCUCGCGGCCUAUCAGCUAGUUGGUGAGGUAAGGGCUCACCAAGGCCAAGACGGGUAGCCGGCCUGAGAGGGUGUACGGCCACACUGGAAUUGAGAUACGGCCCAGACUCCUACGGGAGGCAGCAGUUGGGAAUCUUAGGCAAUGGACGAAAGUCUGACCUAGCGACGCCGCGUGAGGGAAGAAGGCCUUCGGUUGUAACCUCUGUCAUGGGGAAGGAAGUAAGUAGACGGUACCCAACGAGGAAGACCCUCGCUAACUACGUG
Molecule: ribosomal RNA, 467 nt
Filed under: uncultured bacterium
Lineage: Bacteria
Description: bacterial SSU rRNA
Rfam family: Bacterial small subunit ribosomal RNA
Source: RNAcentral